AGUGAACGCUGGCGGCGUGCCUAAUACAUGCAAGUCGAACGAGUGGCGGACGGGUGAGUAAUGCUUGGGAAUCUAGCUUAUGGAGGGGGAUAACUACGGGAAACUGUAGCUAAUACCGCGUACCAUAGGAUGAGCCCACGUGGGAUUAGGUAGUUGGUGAGGUAAAGGCUCACCAAGCCGACGAUCUCUAGCUGGUCUGAGAGGAUGACCAGCCACACUGGGACUGAGACACGGCCCAGACUCCUACGGGAGGCAGCAGUGGGGAAUAUUGCACAAUGGGCGCAAGCCUGAUGCAGCCAUGCCGCGUGUGUGAAGAAGGCCUUCGGGUUGUAAAGCACUUUCAGCGGGGAGGCGUUACCCGCAGAAGAAGCACCGGCUAACUCCGUGCCAGCAGCCGCGGUAAUAC
This 406-nucleotide ribosomal RNA is filed under the name uncultured bacterium. RNAcentral describes it as "partial 16S ribosomal RNA". It matches the Rfam family "Bacterial small subunit ribosomal RNA", at positions 29 to 526 of the family's 1533-position model. The record is from RNAcentral.